RNAcentral lists this ribosomal RNA (252 nucleotides) under Chloroflexota bacterium. RNAcentral's name for it is "partial 16S ribosomal RNA". It matches the Rfam family "Bacterial small subunit ribosomal RNA", at positions 1294 to 1533 of the family's 1533-position model. The record is from RNAcentral. Lineage: Bacteria; Bacillati; Chloroflexota.
CGGAUUGUAGGCUGCAACUCGCCUGCAUGAAGUCGGAGUUGCUAGUAAACGCGCGUCAGCAACAGUGCGUUGAAUACGUUCCCGGGUCUUGUACACACCGCCCGUCACGUCAUGGAAGCCGGUAACGCCUGAAGUCGCUGAGCCAACCCUUUUGGGAGGCAGGUGCCGAGGGUGGGACUGGUGACUGGGACGAAGUCGUAACAAGGUAGUUGUACCGGAAGGUGCGGCUGGAUCACCUCCUUUCUAGGGAGA